GCGCCGAUGGUUUAGUGGUAAAAUUCUCCGUUGCCAUUGAGCAGCGUCGGGGAGCCGGGGGUUCGAUUCCCCCUCGGCGCA
This 81-nucleotide transfer RNA is filed under the name Colletotrichum cereale. RNAcentral's name for it is "tRNA-Gly". It matches the Rfam family "tRNA". From Rfam's summary of the family: Transfer RNA (tRNA) molecules are approximately 80 nucleotides in length. Their secondary structure includes four short double-helical elements and three loops (D, anti-codon, and T loops). Further hydrogen bonds mediate the characteristic L-shaped molecular structure. tRNAs have two regions of fundamental functional importance: the anti-codon, which is responsible for specific mRNA codon recognition, and the 3' end, to which the tRNAs corresponding amino acid is attached (by aminoacyl-tRNA synthetases). tRNAs cope with the degeneracy of the genetic code in two manners: having more than one tRNA (with a specific anti-codon) for a particular amino acid; and 'wobble' base-pairing, i.e. permitting non-standard base-pairing at the 3rd anti-codon position. The record is from RNAcentral. RNAcentral also lists the same sequence under 1 other name. Lineage: Eukaryota; Fungi; Ascomycota; Sordariomycetes; Glomerellales; Glomerellaceae.